GACGAACGCUGGCGGCGUGCUUAACACAUGCAAGUCGAACGAAGAGCGACGGAAGCUUGCUUCUAUCAAUCUUAGUGGCGAACGGGUGAGUAACGCGUAAUCAACCUGCCCUUCAGAGGGGGACAACAGUUGGAAACGACUGCUAAUACCGCAUACGAUCUAAUCUCGGCAUCGAGGAUGGAUGAAAGGUGGCCUCUACAUGUAAGCUAUCACUGAAGGAGGGGAUUGCGUCUGAUUAGCUAGUUGGAGGGGUAACGGCCCACCAAGGCGAUGAUCAGUAGCCGGUCUGAGAGGAUGAACGGCCACAUUGGGACUGAGACACGGCCCAGACUCCUACGGGAGGCAGCAGUGGGGAAUCUUCCGCAGUGGACGAAAGUCUGACGGAGCAACGCCGCGUGAGUGAUGACGGCCUUCGGGUUGUAAAGCUCUGUUAAUCGGGACGAAAGGCCUUCUUGCGAAUAGUGAGAAGGAUUGACGGUACCGGAAUAGAAAGCCACGGCUAACUACG
RNAcentral lists this ribosomal RNA (508 nucleotides) under uncultured bacterium. Its description in RNAcentral is "partial 16S ribosomal RNA". It matches the Rfam family "Bacterial small subunit ribosomal RNA", at positions 28 to 505 of the family's 1533-position model. The record is from RNAcentral.